RNAcentral lists this long non-coding RNA (864 nucleotides) under Mus musculus (house mouse). Its description in RNAcentral is "long non-coding RNA chr9:59796811-59797675". Lineage: Eukaryota; Metazoa; Chordata; Mammalia; Rodentia; Muridae. The record is from RNAcentral.
GUUGAGGCCUGCCUGAAUUACAGUGUGAAAUUUUGUUUAUUUUUAUUUAAGAUAUUUUUUAUUAUAUACUUGAUCAUAUUCUUUUUCCUCUCCUUAAUUCCUCCUGCAUCUUUUCAACCUUCCUACUCACCUAGCUUGAUUCACACACAACUCUCAAAGGAAAAACAAAAUAAAAAAAAACCACAAAAAGACAAAAUAAUAGAAAUAAAUCAAAAGCUAAAUAAAUAAAUCAAAAAACUAAACUGAAAAAUACCCAGAAAAUCUGGAAUCCUCUUUGUGUUGUCUGGCUACUCCUGGGCAUUGGACCUGUUUGGAGUUUUGUUGAUAUACCCAGUGUCACCCCAUUGGAGAAAACGGAUACCCCCUUUCCCAGCAGUUAUCAUUUCCAAGUAGCUUUUUGGUACCUGGUGUAACUUUGUGGUCACUUCUUCAUGCUGGGAUUUUGUCUGGUUUGAAUGUUUUUAGAUUUUAUGUUGUCAGUCUCUGAGUUUAUUCCUGUUUUGUCUGUAAAUGCUGUUUCUUUCCAGCCAUCCACCACCUCUGCUUCUUAUAAUAUUUCUGCGUGUUUCAUGUAGAUCCUUGAUCCUUGAGAGGAGGGCUUUGAUGAAGGCAUCCCAUUUAGGGUUGCAUUCUCUAAAGCUUCUUACUUUUUUGCAUAUUGUAGGUCUCCUCUGAAUUUCCCAUCUACUGCAAGAAGAAGCUUAUCUGAUAAGGGCUGAUCUUUGUGCAAUAUAGCAAUAUGUCAUUAGUAGUCAUUCUACUGUUAUAUUCCUUUAGCACAGUGGUUCACAACCUUACCAAUGCUGUAACCCUGUAAUGCAGUUCCUCUUGUUGUGGAGGUUCUUGGGUUAAAAACAAACAAAC